AACAACAUGACCUCCAAGACAGGGUCACCGUACCACUCUGUAGCAGUACGCGACCUUGUCGACCUACGAGGUUUGUAGUAGCUUGAUCAGAAGCUUAAUGAUCACAAUCAUUAGUUUCCACUUCAAUUUGCGUAGGCGCCACAUGAACAAAUUCCUGCGCCCUGCUACACACUAGUUGAAGUGAUGGUUCAAUAACCUCAUCAAGUUCCACCAUCCUCCCACUCAGUUCUUUCGAGAGAAACUUUUCCUCGAGAAAGGACCCGUUUCUAGAAACAAACACUUUGCUUCCGGAUCUGAGAUAGGAGGUAUACCCAACUAUUUUGGGUGUCCUAUGAAGAUGCGUUUAUCCGCUCUGGGUUCGAGCUUAUCAUGCUGAAACUUUUCCACAUGAGCAUCGCAGCCCCAAACUUUUAAGAAACGACAGCUUAGGUUUCUCCAAACCAUAGUUCAUACGGUGUCAUCUCAACGGAAUUACGUGGUACCCUAUUUAAAGUGAAUGUGGUUGUCUCUAAUGCCUAACCCAAAACGAUAGUGGUAUUUCGAUAAGAGACAUCAUAGUAUGCACCAUAUCAAAUAGGGCGCGGCUAUGACAUUCAGACAAACCAUCACACUAUGGUGUUCUAGGUGGCAUGAACUGCAAAACAAUUUCCACAUUGUCUUAACCGUGUACCAAAACUCGCAGCUCAGAUAUUCAUCUCUAUGAUCAUAUCGUAGACAGUUUAUCCUCUUGUCACGAUGAUCUUCACUCUGGAAUAGCUUUGAACUUUUCAAUAUUUCAGACUUGUGAUUCAUCAAGUAAAUACUCAUGUAUCUACUCAAAUCAUCAGUGAAGUGAGAACAUAACGAUAUCCACUGCGUGCCUUAGCACUCAUUGGACUGCACAUAUCAAAAAUCUAUUGCAUCCAACAAGUUACUUUCUUGUUCCAUGUGGUAUGAUUUUGCAUGUCUCAAGUGAGUUAAAAUCAAGUGAUUCCAAACGAUCCAUCUGCAUGGAGUUUCUUCAUGCGUUUAUACCAACAGGUAUGGUUUCCAUGUCUCAAACGUUUCAAAAAUGAGUGAGUACAAAGAUCCAUAAGCAUGGAGUUUCUUCAUGCAUUUUACACCAACAUGACUCAAGCGGCAGUGCCACAAGUAAGUGGUUCUAUCAUUAUUACUUUGUAUCUUUUGGCACCACUAUUAUGAAUAUGUGUAACACUACGAUCGAGAUUCAAUAAAUCAUUGAAGGUAAUUAUUCAAGAAAAUAGAAUAACCAUUAUUCUCUUUAAAUGAAUAAUCGUAUUGCAAUAAACACGAUCCAAUCAUGUUCAUGCUCAAAGCAAACACCAAAUAACAAUUAUUUAGGUUUAACACCAAUCCCGAUGGUAGAGGGAGCGUGCGAUGUUUUGAUCACAUCAACCUUGGAAACACUUUCAACACGUAUCGUCACCUCGCCUUUAGCUAGUCUCCGUUUAUUUCGUAGCUUUUAUUUCGAGUUACCAAUCACUUAGCAACCGAACCGGUAUCUAAUACCCUCGUGCUACUAGGAGUACUAGUAAAGUACACAUCAAUAUCAUGUAUAUCAAAUAUACUUCUGUUGACUUCGCCAGCCUACUCAUCUACCAAGUAUAUAGGGUAGCUCCGCCUCAGUGACCGUUCACCUCAUAACAAAAGCACUUAAUCUCGGGUUUGGGUUCAAUCUUGGGUUUCUUCAUUAGAGCAGCAACUGGUUUGUCGUUUCAUGAAGUAUCUCUUCUAGCCCUUGCCCUUCUUGAAACUAGUGGUUUUACUAACCAUCAACAAUUGAUGCUCCUUCUUGAUUUCUACUUUCGUAGUGUCAAACAUUGUGAAUCGCUCAAGGAUCAUCAUAUAUAUCCUUGAUAUGUUAUAGUUCAUCACGAAGCUCUAGCAGCUUGGUGGCAGUGACUUUGGAGAACCAUCACUAUCUCAUCUGGAAGAUUAACUCCCACUUGAUUCAAGCGAUUGUUAUACUGAGCACAUGCUCAACGAUUGAGCUUUUCUCCUUUACUUUGUAGACAAAGAAUCUUGUUGGAGGUCUCAUACCUUUCAACAAGGGCACGAGCAUGAAAUCUCAAUUUCAUAUCUUAGAACAUCUUUUAUGUUCCGUGACGUUUCAAAAUGUCUUCGGCGUCUUGCAUCUAAGCCAUUAAGUAUUACGCACUGAACUAUCACGUAGUCAUGAAAAAUGUGUAUGUCAGAUGUUCGCAACAUCCACAGACGACGCUUGAGGUGCAGCACACCGAGUGGUGCAUUAAGGACAUAAGCCUUCUACGCAGCAAUGAGGACAAUCCUCAGUUUUACGUACUCAGUCCGCAAAGUUACUACUAUCAUCUUUCAACUAAAUUUUCUCUAGGAACAUAUAAAAAAACAGUAGAGCUAUAGCGCAAGCUACAUCAUAAUUCGCAAAGACCUUUUGACCAUGCUCAUGAUAAUUAGUUCAAUUAAUCAUAUUACUUAAGAACUCCCACUCAAAAAAUACAUCCCUCUAGUCAUUUCAGUGGUGCAUGAUCCAAAUCCACUAACCCAAGUCCGAUCAUCACGUGAGUUGCGUAUAGUUUCAGUGGUAAACAUCUCUAUGCUAAUCAUAUCAACUAUAUGAUUCAUGCUCGACCUUUCGGUCUCUUGUGUUCCGAGGCCAUGUCUGCACAUGCUAAGCUCGUCAAGUUUAACCCGAGUGUUCCGCGUGUGCAACUGUUUUGCACCCGUUGUAUGCGAACGUUGAGUCUAUCACACCCGAUCAUCACGUGGUGUCUCGAAACGACGAACUGUCGCAACGGUGCAUAGUCGGGGAGAACACAAUUUUAUCUUGAAAUUUUAGUGAAGGAUCACGUUAUAAUGCUACCAUCGUUCUAAGAAAGAUAAGGUGCAUAAAAGGAUUAACAGCACAUGCAAUUCAUAAGUGACAUGAUAUGGCCAUGAUCUUGUGCUUCUUGAUCUCCAUCACCAAAGCACCGACAUGAUCUUCAUCGUCACCGGCACCACACCAUGAUCUCCACCAUCGUGCCGCCAUCGAGGUUGUCGUGCUAUAUACGCUAUCACUACUAAAGCUACAACCUAGCGAUAUAGUAAACGCAUAUGCAAACACAAACGUUAGUUUAAAGACAACCUUAUGGAUCCUGCCAGUUGCCGUAGCAUCGACGUGCAAGUCGAUAUUUAACUAUUACAAAAUGAUCAUCUCAUACAUCCAAUAUAUCACAUCAUGUCUUUGGCCAUAUCACAUCACAUGCAUACCCUGCAAAAACAAGUUAGACAUCCUCUAAUUUGUUGUUGCAUGUUUUACGUGGCUCCUAUGGGUAUCUAGUAUGAUCGCAUCUUACUUACGCAUAGCCACAACGGUAAUAUGCAAAUUGCUAUUUAACCUUUCUCCAAGGACCGCCUCGGUCAAAUCCGAUUCAACUAAAGUUGAAGAAACAGACACCCGCCAGUCAUCUUUAUGCAACAAGUUGCAUGUUAGUCGAUGAAACCGGUCUCUUGUAAGCGUACGAUUAAGGUUGGUUUGGGCCGCUUCAAUCCAACAAUACCGCCGAAUCGAGAAAAUACUAAGGAGGGCAGCAAAUUGAACAUCAAUGCCCACAAAAACUUGUUUGUUCUACUCGAGAUUACAUCUACGCAUGAACCUAGCUCAUGAUGCCACUAUUGGGGAACGUUUCAUGGGAAACUAAAAAAUUCCUACACACACGAAGACCUAUCAUGGUGAUGAUCAUCUACGAGAGGGAGAUCGGGUCCACAUACCCUUGUAGAUCGCUAAGUGGAAAUGUUAAGAAACGUGUAUGAUGUAGUGGUAUGUCUUCACGAUCCGUCCCACGAACCGUCUCACGAUCCGUCCCGAUCAAGUGUUGAACGGACGGCACCUCCGCGUUCCGCACACGUACAGCUCGAUGACGAUCUCCGCCUUCUUGAUCCAGCAAGAGGGGCGGAGAGGUAGAUGAGUUCUCCAGCAUGGCGAUGUGGUGGUGGUGUUGGUGGUGCUAUUCCAGCAGGGCUUCGCCUAAGCACCGCUGAAACUAGAGGAGAAACAGAUCUAGAGAGAGAGGGCAGCACGUGGCUGUUUCUGUUGUCCAAAAACCCUCAAAACCCUUAGUAUAUAUAGGAGGAGAGGAGGGAGAGGGUUGCGCCCUAGAGCAACCUUCUCUUCCCUUGCGCAAGGGAGAGGAGGAGGAGUCCUACUCCAAUCCUAUUUGGAGUAGGAUUCCUCCUUCCCACUUGGAAACUCUUUCCACCUUGUGUUUUUCCUUCUCAAACCUUAUGGGUCUUAGUGGGAACUUAUUCGAGCCCACUAGGGGAUGGUUUAUCUCUUGCCACAGCCCAUAAGGCCUCUUGGGGCGUGACACCCCUCCCGAUGGUCCCCGGCACACCUCCCGGCACUCCCGGUACACUACCGAUGAGCCCGAAACUUUUCCCGUGACCAAAACAGGACUCCCUAUAUAUCAAUCUUCAUUUCCGGACCAUUCUGGAAACCUUCGUGAUGUACGGGAUCUCAUCCGGCACUCUGAACAACCUUCGGUCACCAACACAUAUAACUUAACUAUACCGAAACAUCACCGAACUUUAAGUGUGUAGACCCUGCGGGUUCGAGAACUAUGUAGACAUGACCUGAGACACUCUUCGGUCAAUAACCAACGGCGGGACCUCGAUGUUCAUAUUGGCUCCUACAUAUUCUACGAAUAUCUCUAUCGGUUGAACCUCUAUGUCAAGGAUUAAUAUAAUCCCGUAUACUAUUCCCUUUGUCCUUCGGUAUGUUACUUGCCCGAGAUUCGAUCGUUGGUAUCUCCAUACCGAGUUCAAUCUCGUUACCGGCAAGUCUCUUUACUCGUUCCAUAAUACAAGAUCUCGUGACUAACUCCUUAGUCAUAUUGCUUGCAAGGCUUGUUGUGAUGUUGUAUUACCGAGUGGGCCCCCUAGAUACCACUCCGUCACAUGGAGUGACAAAUCACAGUCUUGAUCCAUGCCAACCUAAUAGACACCUUUGGAGAUACGUGUAGAGCACCUUUAUGGUCACCCAGUUAUGUUGUGACGUUUGAUACACACAAGGCAUUCCUCCGGUGUCCGGGAGUUGUGAUACGUCCAUUUUGCAUCAUGUUUUCAUGUUGAUAUUUAUUGCUUCUUGGGAUGUUAUAUUACUUGUGGUGCCAUAUUUAUGCCUUUUCGCUCUUAUUUUGCAAGGAUUAUUUGAAGAGGGAGAAUUCAGGCAGCUGGAAUUCUGGACUAGAAAAGGAGCAAAUCCUAGUCCACUAUUCUGCACAUCUCCAAAUGCCCUGAAAAUUUUCGUGGAUUUUUUCUAGAAUAUAUUAAAAAUACUGGGCGAAAGAACUACCAGAGGGGGCCACCAGGGCCCCACAAGCUUGCCCACCGCCGCCGCCCCCCUGGUGGCGCACGGCAGGCUUGUGGGCAGCCCACUGGCCCACUAGCCCCCCUCUUUUGCUAUAUGAUGCGUCCUGACCUGGAGAAAAUCAUACAGGAGCUUUUUCGUGGUUUCCCCGCCGCCACAGGGCGGAACUUGAGUAGAUCCAAUCUAGAGCUCCGGCAGGACGAUCUUGUCGGGGAAAUUUCCCUCCCGGAGGGGGGAAUCAUCACCAUCUUCAUCACCAACACUCCUCUCAGCGGAGGGGAGGCAUCUUCAUCAACAUCUUCAUCGGCACCAUCUCUUCUCCAAUCCCUAGUUCAUCUCUUGUAACCAAUCUUCGUCUCGCAACUCAGAUUAGUACUUGUAAGGUUGCUAGUAGUGUUGAUUACUCUUUGUAGUUGAUGCUUGUUGGAUUACUUGGUGGAAGAGUUUAUGUUCAGAUCCUUGAUGCUAUUCAUUACACCUCUGGUCAUGAUUAUGAUUAUAUCUUGUGAGUAGUUACUUUUGUUCCUAAGGACAUGGAAUAAGUCAUGCUGAUAAUAGUCAUGUGAAUUUGAUAUUCGUUCAGUAUUUUGAUAUGAUGUAUGUUGUUUUUCCUCUAGUGGUGUUAUGUGAACGUGGACUACAUAACACUUCACCAUAUUUGAGCCUAGAGGAAGGCAUUGUGAAGUAGUAAGUAGAUGAUGGGUUGCUGGAGUGACAGAAGCUUAAACCCCAGUUUAUGCGUUGCUUCGUGAGGGGAUGAUUUGGAUCCACUAGUUUAAUGCUAUGGUUAGACUUUGUCUUAAUUCUUCUUUUGUAGUUGCGGAUGCUUGCUAGAGAGGUUAAUCAUAAGUGGGAUGCUUGUCCAAGUAAGGUCAGUACCCAAGCGCCGGUCCACCCACAUAUCAAACUAUCAAAGUAACGAACGCGAAUCAUAUGAACAUGAUGAAACUAGCAUGACAGAAAUUCUCAUGUGUCCUCGGGAGCAUUUUUCCUCCUAUAUGACUUUGUUCAGGCUUGUCCCUUGCUACAAAAGGGAUUGGGCCACUUGCUGCACCGUUGCUACUACUUGUUAUUUGUUACUCUUUGCUUGCUACGUUUCACCUCGCUACACAAUCACUUGUUACCGCUACUUUCAGUGCUUGCAGUUAUUACCUUGCUGAAAUUCGUUUAUCACAGCCUUCUGCUCCUCGUUGGGUUCGACAAUCUUACUUAUAGAAAGGACUAUGAUUGAUCCCCUAUACUUGUGUUGGAAAUAUGCCCUAGAGGCAAUAAUAAAUUAGUUAUUAUUAUAUUUCUUUGUUCAUGAUAAUCGUUUCUUAUCCAUGCUAUAAUUGUAUUGAUUGGAAACACAGUGCAUGUGUGGAUACACAGACAAAACACAGUCCCUAGUAAGCCUCUAGUUGACUAGCUCGUUGAUCAAAGAUGGUCAAGGUUUCCUGACCAUAGGCAAGUGUUGUCACUUGAUAACGGGAUCACAUCAUUAGGAGAAUCAUGUGAUGGACUAGACCCAAACUAAUAAGACGUAGGAUGUUGAUCGUGUCAUUUUGUUGCUAUUGUUUUCUGCGUCUCAAGUAUUUGUUCCUAUGACCAUGAGAUCAUAUAACUCACUGACACCGGAGGAAUGCUUUGUGUGUAUCAAACGUUGCAACGUAACUGGGUGACUAUAAAGAUGCUCUAUAGGUAUCUCCGAAGGUGUUCGUUGAGAUAGUAUGGAUCGAGACUGGGAUUUGUCACUCCGUGUGACGGAGAGGUAUCUCGGGGCCCACUCGGUAAUACAACAUCACNNNNNNNNNNNNNNNNNNNNNNNNNNNNNNNNNNNNNNNNNNNNNNNNNNNNNNNNNNNNNNNNNNNNNNNNNNNNNNNNNNNNNNNNNNNNNNNNNNNNNNNNNNNNNNNNNNNGGUAAACGAGAUUGAAAUAGGUAUGCGGAUACUGACGAUCGAAUCUCGGGCAAGUAACAUACCGAAGUACAAAGGGAAUGACAUACGGGAUUAUAUGAAUCCUUGGCACCGAGGUUCAAACGAUAAGAUCUUCGUAGAAUAUGUAGGAUCCAAUAUGGGCAUCCAAGUCCCGCUAUUGGAUAUUGACCGAGGAGUCACUCGGGUCAUGUCUACAUAGUUCUCGAACCCGCAGGGUCUGUACACUUAAGGUUCGACGUUGUUUUAUGCGUAUUUGAGUUAUAUGGUUGGUUACCGAAUGUUGUUCGGAGUCCCGGAUGAGAUCACGGACAUCACGAGGGUUUCCGGAAUGGUCCGGAAACAAAGAUUGAUAUAUAGGAUGACCUCAUUUGAUUACCGGAAGGUUUUCGGAGUUACCGGGAAUAUACCGGGAAUGACGAAUGGGUUCCUCGGAAUGUACCAGGAAUGACGAAUGGGUUCCGGGUGUUCACCGGGGGGGCAACCCACCCCGGGGAAGCCCAUAGGCCUUGGGGGUGGCGCACCAGCCCUUAGUGGGCUGGUGGGACAGCCCAAUAAGGCCCUAUGCGCCAUAGGAAGAAAAUCAAAGAGAAAAAGGAAAAAAGAAAAGGGGAGGUGAGAAAAAGGGGAAGGACUCCACCUUCCAAACCUAGUUGGAUUCGGUUUGGAAGGGGAGGACUCCCCCCCUUGGCUCGACCGACCCCCAAGGCAAGGCCCCCCUCUCCCACCUAUAUAUACGGAGGUUUUAGGGUUGAUUUGAGACAACUUUGCCACGGCAGCCCGACCACAUACCACCAUGGUUUUACCUCUAGAUCGCGUUUCUGCGGAGCUCGGGUGGAGCCCUGCUGAGAUUAGAUCACCACCAAACUCCGGAGCGCCGUCAUGCUGCCCGAGAACUCAUCUACCUCUCCGUCUCUCUUGCUGGAUCAAGAAGGCCGAGAUCAUCGUCGAGCUGUACGUGUGCUGAACGCGGAGGUGCCGUCCGUUCGGCACUAGAUCGUGGGACGGAUCGCGGGACGGUUUGCGGGGCGGAUCGAGGGACGUGAGGACGUUCCACUACAUCAACCGCGUUUCUUAACGCUUCUGCUGUGCGAUCUACAAGGGUACAUAGAUCAAAUAUCCCCUCUCGUAGAUGGACAUCACCAUGAUAGGUCUUCGUGCGCGUAGGAAAAUUUUUGUUUCCCAUGCGACGUUCCCCAACAACUUGUGGGUCAUCAAGACUCUUUUCUGGCGCCGUUGCCGGGGAGUGAAGCGCCUUUGGUAAGUGGAAAUUGGUAAGGAAACAAUUUUAUACUGUGCUGAAAUUUAUUGUCACUUGUCACUAUGGAAACUCUUCCUUUGAGGAGUUUGUUCGGGGUAUCUUCACCAUGAACGGAAGCACGAGGAUUUGCUCCUCAACCUGAGGUACCUACUGAAAAUAUCUUUUAUAAAAUUCCUUUGGGUAUGCUUGAGAAAUUGCUGGCUAAUCCUUUUACAGGAGAUGGAUCUUCACAUCCAGACUUUCAUCUAAUCUAUGUAGAUGAAGUUUGUGGUUUAUUUAAGCUUGCAGGUUUGCCCGAGGAUGAGGUAAAGAAGAAACUCUUUCCUUUAUCUUUGAAGGAUAAGGCAUUGACAUGGUAUAGGCUAUGUGAUGAUACUGGAUCAUGCAGCUACAAUCGGUUGAAAUUGGAAUUUCAUCAAAAGUUCUAUCCCAUGCAUUUAGUAUAUCAUGAUCGGAACUUUAUUUAUAACUUUUGGCCUCGUGAUAGGGAAAGCAUAGCUCAAGCUUGGGGGAGGCUUAAAUCAAUGCUAUAUUCAUGCCCCAAUCAUGAGCUCUCGAGAGAAAUCAACACUCAAAACAUUUAUGCUCGGAUUUCUCAUGAAGAUCGUACCAUGCUUGAUACUUCUUGUGCCGGUUCUUUUAUGAAGAAGAAUAUUGAUCACAAGUGGAAUUUAUUGGAGAGAAUCAAACGCAACUCUGGAGAUUGGGAGCUGGAGGAAGGUAAGGACUCAGGUAUGAAUUUCUAUUUUGAUUGCGUUAAAUCUUUUGUUGAGACAAACACUUCUAGAGAGCGCUAAGUAUGGACUUGACUCUGAGAUAGUAGCUUCUCUUUGUAAAUCUUUUGCUGCUCAUGUUGAUCUUCCCAAAGAGAAGUGGUUUAAAUAUCAUCCUCCUGUAGAAAGCAACAUAGCCAAAACCAAUCUAGUUGAGGAGAAAAUCAUAGCUUUUAGUGAUCCUGUUGUUCCUUGUGCUUACACUGAGAAACCACCAUACCCUGCUAGGAUGAAGGAUUAUUCUAAAGCUCCAACUGUGAUACGUAGGGGUUACAUUAGACCACUUGCACCCCCUGAAGAGAUUAGAGUUGAACCUAGUGUUGCUAUUAUCAAAGAUCUCUUAGCCAAAGAGAUAGAUGGGCAUGUUAUCAAAUUCUGUGAGGACUCCGCUAGAAUUGCUAAACCUCACGCGAAAGACAAGCACGGACCUGUAGUUGGCCUGCCCGUUGUUUCUGUUAAGAUAGGAGAUCACUGUUACCAUGGUUUAUGUGAUAUGGGAGCUAGUGUUAGUGCAAUACCCCGUUCUCUAUAUGAUGAAAUCAAAGAUGAGAUUGCACCAGCUGAGAUAGAACCCAUUGAUGUCACUAUCACGCUAGCUAAUAGAGACACUAUAUGCCCUUUGGGAAUUGUGAGAGAUGUAGAAGUCCUGUGUGGUAAGACGAAGUAUCCUACUGAUUUCCUCGUCCUUGGUACUACACAAGAUAGCUUUUGUCCCAUCAUAUUCGGUAGACCCUUUCUCAACACUAUCAAUGCUCACAUUGAUUGCAUUAAGCAGACUGUCAUAGUAAGUUUCGAGGGUGUGUCUCAUGAAUUUAACUUCUCCAAGUUUGGAAGACAACCCCAUGAAAGAGAUUCAUCUGGUAGGGAUGAAAUCAUUGCUCUUUCCUCUAUUGCCAUACCUCCUACGAAUCCUUUAGAGCAAUAUCUGCUUGAGCAUGAAAAUGAUAUGCAUACGGAGGAGAGAGAUGAGAUAGAUAGAAUUGUCUUAGAACAAUGUCCUAUUCUCAAGAAUAAUCUGCAUGUUGAACUGCUUGGGGAUCCUCCCCCACCAAAGGGUGAUCCUGUGUUCGAGCUUAAACAGUUGCCUGAUACUCUUAAGUAUGCCUAUCUUGAUGAGAAGGAGAUAUAUCCUGUCAUUAUUAGUGCUCUCCUCUCAGAGCGUGAAGAGAAGAAGUUACUAAAAACUCUGAGGAAGCACCGCGCUGCUAUUGGAUAUACUCUUGAUGAUCUUAAGGGUAUUAGUCCUACUCUAUGUCAGCACAAGAUUAAAACCGAUCCUGACUUUAAACCAGUUGCUGAUCAUCAAAGGAGAUUAAAUCCUAAGAUGAAAGAGGUCGUUAGAAAAGAAAUAUUAAAGCUUCUGGAAGCAGGAAUCAUUUAUCCUAUUGCUCAUAGUGAUUGGGUAAGUCCAGUACAUUGCGUACCUAAGAAGGGAGGUAUCACCGUCGUUCCUAAUGAUAAGGAUGAACUAAUCCCACAAAGGAUUAUUACCGGCUAUAGAAUGGUGAUAGACUUCCGGAAACUGAACAAGGCAACCAGGAAAGAUCAUUAUCCUUUGCCGUUCAUCGACCAAAUGCUAGAAAGGCUAUCAAAGCACACACACUUUUGCUUUCUAGACGGUUAUUCAGGUUUCUCGCAAAUACCUGUUGCAUAAUUUGAUCAAGAGAAAACCACCUUCACCUGCCCUUUCGAUACCUUUGCCUAUAGAUGUAUGCCUUUUGGCUUAUGUAAUGCACCUGCCACCUUUCAAAGAUGUAUGAUGGCUAUAUUCUCUGACUUUUGUGAAAAGAUUGUCGAGGUUUUCAUGGAUGACUUCUCCAUUUACGGGUCUUCCUUUGAUGAUUGCCUCAGCAACCUUGAUCGAAUCUUACAGAGAUGCGAAUAAACCAACCUCGUCUUGAAUUGGGAGAAGUGCCACUUUAUGGUUAAUGAAGGUAUCGUCUUAGGACACAAAAUCUCUGAAAGAGGCAUUGAAGUUGAUAAGGCUAAGGUUGAUGCAAUUGAGAAAAUGCCUUGCCCCACAGAUAUCAGAGGUAUACGAAGUUUCCUAGGUCAUGCUGAUUUCUAUAGAAGGUUCAUUAAAGACUUCUCUAAGAUUUCUAGGCCUCUUACCAACCUCUUGCAGAAGGAUGUUCCUUUUGUUUUUGAUGAGGAUUGUGAGGAAGCCUUCGAAAUACUUAAGAAGGCUUUGAUAACCGCACCUAUUGUUCAACCACCUGACUGGAACUUUCCCUUUGAAAUCAUGUGUGACGCUAGUGAUUAUGCUGUUGGUGUUGUUCUAGGACAAAGAGUUGACAAGAAGUUGAAUGUCAUUCACUACGCUAGUAAAACUCUAGACAGUGCCCAAAGGAACUAUGCCACUACGGAGAAGGAAUUUUUAGCACUCGUGUUUGCAUGUGAAAAAAUCAGAUCUAACAUAGUUGACUCCAAGGUCACUAUUCACUCUGAUCAUGCUCCUAUUAAGUACCUUAUGGAGAAGAAGGACGCUAAGCCUAGGCUUAUCAGAUGGGUUCUCCUGCUACAGGAAUUUGAUUUGCACGUCAUUGACCGAAAGGGUGCUGAUAACCCUGUAGCAGAUAACUUGUCUAGGCUAGAGAAUGUCCUUGAUGACCCACUACCAAUUGAUGACAGCUUUCCUGAUGACCAAUUAAAUGUCAUCCGCACUUCACUUAGUGCACCAUGGUAUGCCGAUUAUGCAAACUAUAUCGUAGCCAAAUACAUACCACCCAGUUUCACCUAUCAACAAAAGAAGAAAUUCUUCUUUGAUUUGAGACACUACUUUUGGGAUGAUCCUCACCUUUAUAAGGAAGGAGUAGAUGGUGUUAUUAGACGUUGUGUGCCUGAACAUGAACAGGGACAGAUCCUGCAGAAGUGUCAUUCCGAAGCCUACGGAGGACACCACGCUGGAGAUAGAACUGCCCAUGAGGUAUUGCAAUCAGGUUUCUAUUGGCCCACUCUCUUCAAGGAUGCUCGUAAGUUUGUCUUGUCUUGUGACAAAUGCCCAAGGAUAGGGAACAUCAGUAAGCGUCACAAGAUGCCUAUGAACUAUUCACUUGUCAUUGAACCAUUUGAUGUCUGGGGCUUUGAUUAUAUGGGACCCUUCCCGAGUUCCAGUGGGUACACUCACAUCUUAGUUGUUGUGGAUUACGUUACUAAGUGGGUAGAAGCUAUCCCCACUAAAAAUGCUGAUCACCACAACUCUAUUAAGAUGCUUAAAGAAGUUAUAUUCCCAAGAUUUGGAGUCCCUAGAUACUUGAUGACUGAUGGCGGUUCACACUUCAUUCAUGGUGUUUUCCGCAAGAUGCUAGCUAAGUAUGAUGUCAACCAUAGAGUUGCAUCUCCUUAUCAUCCUCAGUCUAGUGGUCAAUUGGAGUUGAGUAAUAGGGAGAUCAAGUUGAUCUUACAAAAGACCGUCAAUAGAUCCCGAAAGAACUGGUCUAGCAAACUUGACGAUGCACUAUGGGCUUAUAGGACUGCUUAUAAAAAUCCCAUGGGCAUGUCACCGUAUAAAAUGGUUUACGGUAAGGCCUGUCAUUUACCUCUUGAGUUGGAACACAAAGCUUAUUGGGCAAUCAAAGAGCUCAACUUUGAUUUCAAACUUGCCAGUGAGAAGCGGUUGUUUGAUAUCAGCUUGUUGGAUGAAUGGAGAGCCCAGGCAUAUGAGAAUACCACGUCGUCAAGGAAAAGGUUAAGAGAUGGCACGACAAACGAAUACAGAAACGAGAGUUCAAUGUAGGUGAUUAUGUCUUGCUAUACAAUUCUCGUUUGAGAUUCUUUGGAGGCAAGCUUCUCUCUAAAUGGGAAGGUCCCUACGUUGUCGAGGAAGUAUAUCGUUCCGGUGCCAUCAAAAUCAAUAAUACAAGGAAAUUUUCCUAGAGUGGUAAAUGGGCAAAGAAUCAAGCAUUACAUCUCUGGUACUCCCAUAAAUGUUGAGACCAAUAUCAUCAAUGUCAUAACUCCACAGGAGUACAUAAGGGAUGUUUAUCAGCCUGUUUCAGACCUUGAAAACGAAGAUGUAUCUGUUUCGGCAAGAAAUUGGACUCCGAUACUUUUCCAAUAGGAAAUUUCCUCAGUUUUGGAAUUUUUGGAAAAUUAGAAAAAUAAAAAAGCAGUCCGGAGAGCAAACGAGGAAGCCACAAGGGCCCACUCCGCCACCACCCCCUGGUGGCGGUGGGCAAGCUUGUGGGCACCUUGUGUGCCUCCCGGACUCCGUUUUCUUGCAGAGGACUCCUUCUGGCCCAGAAAAAAUCAAUAUAUAGUUGCCCGAAGGUUUUGAUCUUCAUAUCGCGUAGUUUUCCUCUGUUUUCGUUUCGAGCUUGUUUCUGCCGCAGAUCUAGAUCAUCAUGACUUCCCCAAACGCUCCUAAGGACAAGAUCUUGGAGAAGGUCAUCAAUCCCUACCUCACGGAAGUGCUAAAACACCAUCAAUCUAUCAAGAUGAGCGAGGGGAUGUUGCACAUCCGUGAUGUUGAGGGGCCUAAGAAGACCGGAAGCAUGGAGACGAGGCUCGAAGUAGUGGAGCAACAAGUCUUCAUGUGCCAAGGGAUGGUUGAGCGUGGACUCAACGCCAACCACACGAUGAUCACGGAGUUCACUAGCAAUCACAAGAUGGAUGUCAUUGAUAUCGGGAAACACCUCUCCAGACUUUACGAUAGGGUUGACCAACUUCAGGGCCAAAUCUAUGACCUGCAGAAUCAAAACUGUGAGUAUGGGUAUAGAUUUAAAUCAAUAAGGUUGGCUGCAGAUUUGAGGAUUUCGGCUACUCGUUCAUCCUGCCAUGAUGGAGCACCUAUGCCUUGGAAGACGGAGGAUCAGACUACUCCAACAACACCACCAUCAUCACCAAAGGAAGACAACUAAGCAUUGGUAUGGGCAAUCCCCUUGGCUUCUGCCGAGCUUGGGGGAGUUGCCCUGGUAUCAUAUCACCUUUAUAUCUUUUGCUUUUACCUUUGUUUUAGUUCUUUCCCUUUCAGUUUUUAUUUCUUCUUUUAGAGGAAUAAGUCUUUAGUUUUUAGUUUGAGUCUUUUGCUUUUGGUCUCUCCCCCGAUGUAUUCGAGCUUACGAGCUAUAUAAUAAAGAGUGUCUUAGUCAAAGGGCUUUGCUUUGUGCCAUGAUCAAAAGUAUGAAAAGAACGAUAGCAUGAAAGAUCAUGAGACGAUCUUAUGGAAAGUGAUAACUUCACUUAUGACACGUAUGAUGAUUGAAACUUGUCGAGAAUAAAUCAACACAUACCUCAGUCAUUGUUGCAAUUAAUAAGAAGUAAUAAGGAAAGAGAGGUUCACAUAUAAAUAUAUCAUCUUAGACACUUUCUACAAUUGUGAGCACUCACCAAACUAUUACAUGCCUAGGAGUAGAUGUUGGACAAGGAAGACAACAUAAUGAAUUGUGUUUGCUUGGUUCCAAACAAUGUUAUAUGAUUAGAGAUCCCUUAGCAUGUGACGAUUGCUUCCACCUCAUAUUAGCCAAAACUUCCGCACCAAGUAGAGAUACUACUUGUGCAUCCAUAAACCUUCAACCCAGUUUUGCCAUGAGAGUCCACCAUACCUACCUAUGGAUUGAAUAAGAUCCUUCAAGUAAGUUGUCAUCGGUGCAAGCAAUAAAAAUUGCUCUCUAAUAUGUAUGAUCUAUUAGUGUGUGGAAAAUAAGCUUUGUACGAACCUGUGAUGAGGAAGACAUAAAAGCGACAGACUGCAUAAUAAAGUUCUUUGUCACAGGAGGCAAUAUAAAGUGACGUUCCUCCGCACUAAGAGGACACGCAUUCAAACCUCAAAAGUGCAUGACAACCUCUGCUUCCCUCUGCGAAGGGCCUAUCUUGUACCUUUACUUUUACCCUUGUAAGAGUCAUGGUGAUCAUCACCAAUUCCCUUUUUGCCUUCGUCUUGGCUACCGUCACAUGCUUGGAAAAGAUCUAUAUUCAUAUAUCAACUUGGAGUUGAGUACUCAUGCUUUAUUGUUGUUGACUUUACCCUUGAGGUAAACCGUUGGGAGGAAAAACUAUAAGCCCCCAUCUUCCUCUGUGUCGAGCUGAAGCUUUGACACCAUGAGUACCACGUGAGCUAUAAAAAUUGUGGAAAACAAAAGAGAUGAUUGAGUAUGUGGGUUUGCCUUACAAGCUCUUAUUUGACUCUUUCUGAUGUUGUGAUAAAUUGCAAUUGCUUCAAUGAUUAUGGACUAUUGUUGGUUACUUCUCGGUAAGGUUUUUGCUUCAUGCUUUGCUUUGUGAAGGAAUUGUUACUUUCCCAUAAGAAUCUUUAUAUAUAUUGUUGUUCUAUGUGUGAUCAUGAUGCCCUCAUGUCUGUAUUAUGUUUUAUCGACACCUUCGUCCCUCAACAUGUGGACGUGUUUAUGGAACUUGGUUUUCGCUUGAGGACAAGCGAGGUCUAAGCUUGGGGGAGUUGAUACGUCCAUUUUGCAUCAUGUUUUCAUGUUGAUAUUUAUUGCUUCUUGGGAUGUUAUAUUACUUGUGGUGCCAUAUUUAUGCCUUUUCGCUCUUAUUUUGCAAGGAUUAUUUGAAGAGGGAGAAUUCAGGCAGCUGGAAUUCUGGACUAGAAAAGGAGCAAAUCCUAGUCCACUAUUCUGCACAUCUCCAAAUGCCCUGAAAAUUUACGUGGAUUUUUUCUGGAAUAUAUUAAAAAUACUGGGCGAAAGAACUACUGGAGGGGGGCCACCAGGGCCCCACAAGCUUGCCCACCACCACCACCCCCUGGUGGCGCACGGUAGGCUUGUGGGCAGCCCACUAGCCCACUAGCCCCCCUCUUUUGCUAUAUGAUGCGUCCUGACCUGGAAAAAAUCAUACAGGAGCUUUUUCGUGGUUUCGCCGCCACCACGGGGCGGAACUUGAGCAGAUCCAAUCUAGAGCUCUGGCAGGACAAUCCUGCCGGGGAAAUUUCCCUCCCGGAGGGGGGAAUCGUCGCCAUCUUCAUCACCAACACUCCUCUCGUCGGAGGGGAGGCAUCUUCAUCAACAUCUUCAUCAGCACCAUCUCUUCUCCAAUCCCUAGUUCAUCUCUUGUAACCAAUCUUCAUCUCGCAACUCAAAUUGGUACUUGUAAGGUUGCUAGUAGUGUUGAUUACUCUUUGUACUUGAUGCUUGUUGGAUUACUUGGUGGAAGAUUUUAUGUUCAGAUCCUUGAUGCUAUUCAUUACACCUCUGGUCAUGAUUAUGAUUAUGUCUUGUGAGUAGUUACUUUUGUUCCUGAGGACAUGGAAUAAGUCAUGCUGAUAAUAGUCAUGUGAAUUUGAUAUUCGUUCGGUAUUUUGAUAUGAUGUAUGUUGUUUUUCCUCUAGUGGUGUUAUGUGAAUGUCAACUACAUAACACUUCACCAUAUUUGGGUCUAGAGGAAGGCAUUGGAAAGUAGUAAGUAGAUGAUGGGUUGCUGGAGUGACAGAAGCUUGAACCCCAGUUUAUGCGCUACUUCGUGAGGGGUUGAUUUGGAUCCACUAGUUUAAUGCUAUGGUUAGACUUUGUCUUAAUUCUUCUUUUGUAGUUGCGGAUGCUUGCGAGAUAGGUUAAUCAUAAGUGGGAUGCUUGUCCAAGUAAGGGCAGUACCCAAGUGCCGGUCCACCCACAUAUCAAACUAUCAAAGUAACGAAUGCGAAUCAUAUGAACAUGAUGAAACUAGUAUGACAGAAAUUCCCGUGUGUCCUCGGGAGCGUUUUCCUCCUAUAAGACUUUGUUCAGGCUUGUCCCUUGCUACAAAAGGGAUUGGGCCACUUGCUGCACCGUUGCUACUACUUGUUACUUGUUACUCUUUGCUUGCUACGUUUCACCUCGCUACACAAUCACUUGUUACCGCUACUUUCAGUGCUUGCAGUUAUUACCUUGCUGAAAUCCGUUUAUCAGAGCCUUUUGCUCCUCGUUGGGUUCGACACUCUUACUUAUCGAAAUGACUACGAUUGAUCCCCUAUACUUGUGGGUCAUCAAGUUGCGUGAUCACAUGGUCAUAGGAACAGAAACAUUGACAUGCAGAAAAAUAGUAGCAAUAAACUGACACGAUCAUAUGCUACAUUUAUAGUUCGGUUCUUGUCCAUCACAUCAUUCUCCCAAUGAUGUGAUCCCGUCAUCAAGUGACAACACUUGCCUAUGGCCAGGAAACCUUGACCAUCUUUGAUCAACGAGCUAGUCAACUAGAGGCUCACUAGGGACAGUGGGUUGUCUAUGUAUCCACACAUGUAUUUGAGUUUCCAAUCAAUACAAUUCUAGCAUGGAUAAAUAAAUGAUUAUUACGAACAAGGAAAUAUAAUAAUAACCAAUUUAUUAUUGCCUCUAGGGCAUAUUUCCAACAAUUUCUAUGUAAAAGGUGCGGAUAGUACCUCAUUCUCGUCUAUCCCAAGCUGAGGUAUGUCACCGACCCUAUGCUCAUCCAUGCAUACAAAAUUAUCCACUGGAGCCCUGAAUAAUUUUUUAUAGUAUUCAAAGAUAUAUUGUUUGAGAUUCUCAUGUCCCACAAUUGUACCCUCAUCUUGUUCUAGCUGGAUAAUUUUUUUAUUCCUAUGCUUUCCAUUAGCUAUUAGAUGGAAAUGUUGUGUGUUGUCAUCUCCUUGUACCACUUGGAGGACUUUCGCUCUUAGUGCCCACUUCAACUCCUCCUCUCUGAGUAGUUGUUUGAGCUUUAGUUCAGCCUCCAUUUUUCAAUGACCUCUCAUUGUCACCUAAUAACGUUUGUUCGGCUUUUAUGUCUAGUGUGUUUAUAAGUUUAUAAGUUCGACAAGCCUUUGUUUCUUUUUCUUAUAAAUUACACUAUCGUGCUUUUCCCAACCCCUUAAGAAUUGCCUCAGGUGUCUUAUCUUAUUUUGCCACCUGUCAACAUUCGAGUCACCUUCUGUGAAAUAGCCCAUUCUCAAACCCGUCCCUUUCAAACCAUCCCAAUUCGAAAGAAAAAAGGUUUUUAUUUCCCACAUGUGUUGCUUCUCGCGAGUCUACAAACAGUGGGGUAUGAUCAGAGAUAGCUCUUGGUAACUCUCAAACUGUGACGAGAGGGAAUUUCUGCUCCCAUUCCACACUCAUGAGAACCCGGUCCAACUUCUCAAAAGUUGGGUUAGGUAAAGAGUUUGCCCAAGUAAACUUUCUCCCUGAUAGCUCAAUCUCCCACAAAUUAAGGCUCUCGAUGAUUGAAUUAAACAUAAAUGACCAUCUUCCAUCAAAGUUAUCACUGUUUUUCUCAUCCUGCCUCCAGAUUAUAUUAAAAUCGCCCCCUACUAAAAUCGGCAGUCUCUCGUCCCCGCAGAUUCGGACAAGGUCAGCCAAGAAAUCUCUCUUGAACUCAGGCUGGGCCGCCCCAUGCACAUCUACGAGUGCCCAUUGGAACCCGUCAUCUUUGGAGCGAACUCAAAAUUUGACUGCAAAGUCUCCAUACACCACUUUCGUAGUUGUGGUGUCUCGCACCGAACCCCAAGCAAGAUCCCACCUGAUCUUCCUCUUGGAGGUAGACAAUGCCAGUCAAAUUCAGAACCUCCAUACAACGUGUUUAAAAACGAAGCUAUAUAGUUAUCUCUCCCAGUUUCCAUCAAUGCAACGAAAUCCAAUUUGUGCUCAAUAGUUGUUUCAGCUAGGAAUCUUCUUUUAGCCAAGUCUGCUAGACCUCUGCUAUUCCAAAAUGUUCCUUUCAUCGCUCAUCAUGAAAUUUCUUAGCCGUUUUAAAUCUAGCACUACGACGCACAGCUGAAACAGGAUAGACUUUUCUCUUCCAGGUUCUUUUUGGCCUAUCCUGAACCUCCGACCGAUCCACAUAACCGUUGGACUCUUGUGCGUUAGCAUUCGUUUGUGGAGGAGCCUCAUACCCCUCCUGAACGAUAUCAUUUGUGUCUUCAAGCAAAAGGGGGGUGGCACAAGAUCCUCACAUAAACGCUCUAAGGCUCCCAAACCCAAUGCAUUUAUAUCAGAAUCAUUCAUAGGUUUUACGGCUGCAAUUUUUCUGACCAUCUCAAUUGCCCUCUCUGCCUCUAAGUCUAACAUGUCAUUUACCGAUCUAGAUAUCUCCUGGUCUACCAAACGCUAGAAUAAGGCCUAGUAACGGGCCCGACCCAUGCCAUUUUGGCCCAUGACUGCAACCAAACACACCCUUAAGUAACUUCUACAAUAUCCAUCCCCAACUUCCAGAAAUUCUAACACUUAAAAAAUCAAAAUCAAACUAUUGGCAUUUAAAACUUUCAUACAUUUCAUUUCUGAAAAAAAUGGUCUUUUAGAUUUCGAAAUAUCAGUAUUAUAUUUUUUACAAAAUUUAACUUUAAGAAUUUUCAAAAUUAUAAGGAUUCAAAAUUCAAAUGUUUUAGCACUUAAAAAAAUUCAAACUUUAAAAAAAUUGAACUUUCAAAUGUUUUGAAUUUUAAGAAGUGUGAACUUUCAUUUUUUUAUAAAGGAUGGGUUUUAUUUACUCAAAAUAAAGCAUCAAGAGCAUACAAAUACAAUAAGAACACACCCGGCCACUUUAUAACUAGGAUGCACACAACCAACUCAAACUCACACACACAAAAAUACGAUCGGUAAAUAGCAAAGUCAUAUAAGACCAAAGCUAUGUGCGCGGUUGGAAAAAGAAACCAAAGCGACCAUAUUGGCAAUGGACAAACUACAACAAUGACCAUAUCUGCACCAACAAUUUCAUUACACCACACGGACAACGAGGUUCCUCAACAAUGACACCUUCAGAAAGGGAGCGACGCUCAAAUGCCGCUAUCAUCGGAUCCAACCAUCCAAGGUCAGAUGCAAGAUUUUCACUCUGAGAAUCAGUCCAAGCAUGUCCGAGCAAUUCCUUCAAUAAGGUAAUGGCGUAAAAACAUCGCCAUUGCCAGGUACAGCCAACUCGAGUUGGACCUAGGCUUUCACCCGGGAGCUCAAGACCGGGUGCUCGAGAAGCACCACCAUCGAAGUCACUAUGUGUUGUUGCCACUACUUUUCCACAAUCUCAGUAGCUAUAUGCGAUGUGUGACCGCUGAUGCUGCACAACCAUCCCUCUACAUCAAGCCAUCAUCAAUAGUUUCAAUCUCACCGUUGAAGUCAACCAUCGGAUCUCCAAGAUCAAUCAUGAAGACCUUUUGAUGGAUACUACAUCAAUCCGCCGCGAGACCGCCACCGUAGUCAUGGUGGUCACCACACGUUCGUCGUCACGCCCCUAGCAGACCUAAAGGUCCACACCAAGGAACCACGGGUCCACACGCAUGGAGCCAUGGAUGUGUGUGUGGAUCAUGAAACGACCAAUCCAUGGCCAUGGCCAUUAGAUGAGACUAUCCCUGGCUGAUGGCAGGUGUCCAAGCCCUGCCGACAUGGCCACUACACCAUGGGCGCCAUCCCACAUGAAGGAGCCACCAGGCGGAGCAGCGACCACAAGUGAGGCGAGAUCUACACCAGCAAUGGCUGGAUCAUCCAGGUAACUGUCCGCUGGAUCUGUGGUGACAUCGUUGGAGGAAGCACGGGGUAGAGAGUGUGAAUCUGGGUUGGGGGAGAGGGGAAGGUCGGGGAAGAAGAUCCCUGUGGCGGUUGAGUCCCGCCGCCGCUGACAAACUGUCAUCGAUGAUGACGACGAGGAUGGAACAUCGGAGGCGGCCUCGAGUGCUAGGGUUUCUCGCCCCCGGUGUCGCCCUGGAGCAACACGGGAGGCCGAUGGCGAUUUCAUAGGAGAGAGAGAGAGAAGGUUGAGAAAUAGAAUCACAUGGUUGGGCAUGUGAGGAAAGAGAGAGAUGGAAAGAAGCACAUGGAUGAGGCCCCCUCGUCCUAUCUACCACAUGGUAACCUGACACAGUCACAUGCAAUGCUUGCGGCAAUGACCAUGGGCACAGUUCCCACAAGAGAGCAUUCUUAGAGUAAUAGCGAGUCUCAUCCUCAUGUUGGAUGCCUAUAUAAAGCUUCUCCUUUCCAACAUUCAUCAUACGAAUUGGCCAAAAUUUCUUUCUCAUUUGUGAUCUUUCAUCACAUUCAACUUUCCUUUGUAUAUAUUGUUGCUAAGCUUCAAAUUCUAAUCAGCUGGAGCUAAGCAAUGAAUUCUUCAUGCCAUCGAGCAUUCCUCGUGAGGAACAUCUUUUGUACUUUGGAAUGAGUGGUAUCGAGAAAUUAGUCAGGACGACUUUCUGAGGCUGAGGCGCCGCUUUUUUCUGUUCUCGUCUCUGAGACGUUGAGGUGGUAGACAUUUAUGAUAAGUGCAUUUCUUGUUGAGAAUAGCAUCGAUAAUCAUGUCUAGUCUAACAACUUGCUCAUUUAGGACUACCCUGGACAGUGCAACAAGUAAAAUACCAAAUCCUUGUACAAAAACAAGUUGUUGCCCUGUGGUGAGGAGUUGAAGCUAUGGCAUGAACUCGUCCAUGUGUGCGGUAUUUCUCCUUGUUGUUUCCAUCGUCUCUAGAAAUCGCUAAAAAGAUCAAAAACAAUAUCAAACCGUUGACACUAUGUGUCUACCAUCUCACACAAAUUCGAACCCAUAUCCAUCGCAGAUCUCCAAAAACAAACAAACAAGACGGAUCCAGUGUUGAACAGCAUAGCAACUAAUUCAAAUCAGCACAUGAACACAUCAUAUCAUCAGCACCAACACAAGAUUGUUUUUUUUUCUCUUUUCUUCAAACAAUAUCCUGAUUAAGGUUUAAAUAUUCUUGUGGCGUUGUAAAUACAUGUUGUGUGUCAGAGACAUAAUUCUUUUUCAAAUAAAAAAACAUAACUUUUUUUACCACAAAUUUUUCUAGGCUUAUGUGUGUGUAUCUUCCUUGUUUCAGUUCCAAGUGACAAGAGGCAAACUUGUCACGGUUGACUGAAUAGAACAGUAGCAAUCGACCUGCCCGGAGCUUCUAUUUUUUGUAGGUGAUUUUCUCUGUUAAGAGUGACUUCUUCUUUUUUGAGAGUUUUGUUAAGAGUGACAUGAAAUCUGCAUAUGGCGAUCGAGCACGCAUGCCGGCGAUCCCACACGGCGCACCGCAGCCACAAGCCGAUCGCCCCCACAAAAUCUGCCCGACGGCUCCCACCGGGAUGGGAUUCCCCGGUGCCAAUGGCGCGCGCCCACCUCACCCCCUCUUAUCCCCGCCUCACCCACUCGCGCCACGCCCCUUAUCCCCUCCUCUUACAAACCCACACAAACUAAUCAUCGCCCACCACCCUCCAACGAUCACCAACCAAAACCCCUCCACACGCCCGCCCGCGCGCGCCACGGACGCAGCAAUGGCCGCCCUCGCCGCCUCCAUCGCCACCUCCACGGCGUUCGCCGCGAAGCCGCGCCUGUCCCGCCCGCCGGCGCGCCUCUCCGUCUCCUGCUCCGCGUCCAGCGGCGACAACAACAACAGCACCGCCACCCCCUCGCUCUCCGCCUCCAUCAAGACCUUCUCGGCCGCGCUGGCGCUCUCCUCCGUGCUCCUCUCCUCCGCCGCCACCUCCCCGCCCCCCGCGGCUGCCGACAUCGCCGGCCUGACCCCGUGCAAGGAGUCCAAGGCCUUCGCCAAGCGGGAGAAGCAGUCGGUCAAGAAGCUCAACUCGUCGCUCAAGAAGUACGCGCCCGACUCCGCCCCGGCGCUCGCCAUCCAGGCCACCAUCGACAAGACCAAGCGCCGGUUCGAGAACUACGGCAAGUUCGGCCUGCUCUGCGGCUCCGACGGCCUGCCCCACCUCAUCGUCAGCGGCGACCAGCGGCACUGGGGCGAGUUCAUCACCCCCGGCGUGCUCUUCCUCUACAUCGCCGGCUGGAUCGGCUGGGUCGGACGCAGCUACCUCAUCGCCGUCAGCGGCGAGAAGAAGCCCGCCAUGAGGGAGAUCAUCAUCGACGUCGAG
Molecule: long non-coding RNA, 23010 nt
Filed under: Hordeum vulgare
Lineage: Eukaryota; Viridiplantae; Streptophyta; Magnoliopsida; Poales; Poaceae
Description: long non-coding RNA (HVUL_LNC013953)
Source: RNAcentral